GAACCAAAAUCUGCUCACCCCUACCUUUCUAGGGUGAUUUCUUUAUCUCACGGCCCACCCAACGAGGACCAUAGACCAUCGGCGACCGCAACCACCAACUUCAUUGAUCGAAGCUAUAGUGCGUGGCCCACAUGAGUAGAAACUGUUUUUCGCCCUAUGCCAUGCACUGGCGAGUGGUGGCAUGUCUGCCAGAGUUUGCAUCACCAACUUCUUCUCUGGACAUUGCCCUGACAUCCUUAGUCUAGAUAUAGGAGCUAUUGUUUGGUCCAAGGUAUUUUCAGAUGCUCUACCUCAGGUUCGGGCAAGGUUUAGUUUUGGGCAACUAGGUUCUAUUUUGAGAACUUUUUUCUUUUUAUUUGAGUUUUCUUUAGUUGGGGUAUUUGCUUUGCUAAGGAUUGGGUACUGGUAUUUGGUGAAAUAUUGGGUAGCUGUUUUAUUGUUAGAGCUGUGGGUUUGCUUUUACUUCUGAGUAUUUUGGGUUCUAAGUGCUCCAGACCUAUUUCUGGAUUUUCUUGGCUCUCUAAUUUGGGUGGUUUAGCAAGUUUUGGCUUUCAAGACUCACUAUCAGAGCUCGCUUUUCAAUUUUGUGGUGAUUGGUCACUACAAUUCUUAAAUUCCUUGCUGUUUUGAGUUUUGGUGCCUCUUAGUGUUGCUUCUCUGUUGGUUGAGGUUGGGAUUUUGUUUCUUUGUUUUCUAUUGCUG
This 702-nucleotide unclassified non-coding RNA is filed under the name Hevea brasiliensis (rubber tree). The record is from RNAcentral. Lineage: Eukaryota; Viridiplantae; Streptophyta; Magnoliopsida; Malpighiales; Euphorbiaceae.